CAGCCCUUUGAUGUGCUGCACCUGUAAUACCCCCUUGGAUAAGGAGAUCCUUUAAUAGGUUUUUGCCCAUAUUUUCUCCAAGACCAAAAAUCAGAAGGCGGUCCUUCAUUCUUUAUUUUCCCAGCAUUUUCUCCAAUCCUCACUGUAACAACAGUCUUCUCAACCACCUUCCUACAACUUCUUUUGGAUGCCUGAGUUUCUGAUUUGAGUUCUGAUAAUUUGGAGUCUAGUUUUGGAGAGCAAGGAGAACCAUUCAUGACUACUUUUUGCUGUUAUGGCUGCUUCUUAUCUUAUGCCAAAAAAGCUUUAGAUUAGACAGUGAAGAUAGUUAUGAAGAUUCAACUUACAGAGAAGUGAAAAAGGAAAAGAACAGGAUCAAGCUCGAACUCUAAUUGAUUGAGAGAGAGAGAGAGAGAGAGAAGAAGCAAACUUCAUUUCUUACAGAUUGUCCUUAAUUCCUUAUUAACACAGAUUUGGACCCAACUGGUACUACAGAACCUGAAAAACGGCAAUGACAUCUUGUGAUUUAGAAACUUCUAUUUCUACUGCUACAACAUCCCUUUGAGUAGGAGACACCAUAAUAAUGAACCAACCGUAAAAAUCCCAUCCAACCACAAACAGGUAACUUCACAGCGAAUAUGAAUAAGCUCACUACAAGGAGGCAUGCCACCAUUAUUUCUAUGUACUAGAGCUGUACACCAAACUCAUGUUACAAGCAUGCAUUUUGUACUUGUUCUAAUCUGCCAAAGGAAAGGCUGCUGUGUCUCUCCAGUACCUCAGGAAUGAUGCACCUUCAGCAGUGCUUGAUAAAACAUGUCAAUAAAUUGAUCAUCCUGAACAAGUUUCAAAAGUGCAUCACGGACUUUGUCUCUGUUAAUAACAGGUGCAGUGGUAGGAGAACUAGGAGUCAAAGAUGGUGGUGGAGUGGGAGGAGGAAAGGGUUGAAGCAAUGGGGUGCCAUAUGGGCGUUGCAGAUUUAGGGGAGGAUGAAGAGCAGGAGCAGUUGGCAGAGGUGAAGACAUAGGUGGAGCCGUCAAUGCAGAUGAAGAAGGUGGAGUAAAA
RNAcentral lists this unclassified non-coding RNA (1062 nucleotides) under Hevea brasiliensis (rubber tree). The record is from RNAcentral. Lineage: Eukaryota; Viridiplantae; Streptophyta; Magnoliopsida; Malpighiales; Euphorbiaceae.